This 254-nucleotide ribosomal RNA is filed under the name uncultured bacterium. RNAcentral's name for it is "partial 16S ribosomal RNA". It matches the Rfam family "Bacterial small subunit ribosomal RNA", at positions 524 to 776 of the family's 1533-position model. The record is from RNAcentral.
UACGUAGGGGGCAAGCGUUGUCCGGAUUUAUUGGGCGUAAAGAGCUCGUAGGCGUUUCCGUAAGUCGUGAAGUCAAAUCUCUGGGCUCAACCCAGAAUCGCUUCCGAUACUGCGGUGACUGGAGUCCGGUAGGGGAGUGUGGAAUUCCUGGUGUAGCGGUGAAAUGCGCAGAUAUCAGGAGGAACACCAACAGCGAAGGCAGCACUCUGGGCCGGUACUGACGCUGAGGAGCGAAAGCAUGGGGAGCGAACAGG